RNAcentral lists this long non-coding RNA (3286 nucleotides) under Sus scrofa (pig). RNAcentral's name for it is "lncRNA (ENSSSCG00015075622.1)". The record is from RNAcentral. Lineage: Eukaryota; Metazoa; Chordata; Mammalia; Artiodactyla; Suidae.
CUUGUGGCAUGUGGAACUUCCCAGGCAAGGGGUCAAAUUGGAGCUGCAGCUGCCAGCUUACACCACAGCCACAGCAACACCAGAUCCAAGCCACAUCUGUGACAUACACCAUGAGUUCAUGGCAACUCUGGAUACUUAAUCUACCGAGGGAGGCCAGGGAUUGAACCUGUAUCCUCAUGGAUACUAGUCGGGUUCUUAACCUGCUGAGCCAUAAUGAGGACUCCCUAUGCCAAGUCCUUUUGUAGGGCUAAGGGAGGGGCCUUUGUCUUUGGACGAUGAUUCAGCUGUCAAGUCUUCAUCAAGGGCUGUAAUGCUUAGAAAUGCUUAGUUUGCAAAGGAAGGAAAACUCAAAUUCGUGUGGCAAAAAAAAAAAAAAAAAGCAAUUUCUUGGCUUAUGUAACAAAUGGUCCGUUCUAAGGAAAAAAGUAAAAUGUGGAAGGAAAGUGGGGCUAAGAGUAAGGUAGGAAUAUUUAAACUAGAGAGAACAGGGAAGGUCUCAGAGACAAUGGACAUUUGAGCACAGUCCUGAGGGAGGUGAGGAAGUGAGCCAGGUGGAUGUCCCAGACAGAUGGAACAGCAAGCACAAAGGCCCUGAGGUGGGAGUGUGCCUAGAGCUCAGGGAGGGAGCGGGGAGGUGGGAGAUGAGGUCAGAGACGUCACCUAAAGUCAAAUAUUGGGGAAAGACUUGGAAAUUUUUUAGGAAAGAAAGUUCUUUAUCCCAUGGCCUAACAUAAGGAUCAGGUUCCUAUAAGCUCUGGUGGGAAAUGCAGUUGAGGUAGGGAAGAAAAUGGGGGCGAAGAAAAUGAAGCAAGGACCACCCCUUCCACGCUUGGCCCUCCUUGGCCUUGGGAGAACCAGACCAGGUACUAGAAGGGAAAUCAGUGGCCUGAACUCCAUGGCACAGUGUAUAAGGGACUCUAUCAUUAGUAACAGCCCCAGAAGGCAAAAACCUCCUCUGGAGUCACCUAAAGCCCCUGGGGAAACUAGGUUGGGCCAGAGAAGUCUGUGACAGCUGUCACCCACUCUCUAUACAGGAGCAUCCAGGCCUGCCCCCAAUUCAGAGGUCAUAACUUCAUGUGAGGGUGUCUGGUGGGCUCUCCAGGCUGGGGGAACACUCAAAAUCUUGAGAGAGACUAGGGGAUAAUCAGCUAAUUGCUUCAUUUCUAUAUGGUGAAACUGAGGUACACAGAGAGAAACUGAUGCACCCAAAGGUCACACAAUGGAAUAGAGGCAAAGCUGGGACUUGAAUUCAGAAUUCUUGACUCUACAGAGUCAGUGUUCCUUCUCAAUCCUGGGGGGACAAAAGAGCCUGGUGAGCCAGCCAGCCCCAGAGUUAACUUCUGCAUUUGAAUCCUGGAGCCACCAGUUGUCUAUGUGGCCUAGGUUAGUCACUGUAUCUCUCUGUGUCUCAGAUUCCUCAUUUGUAAAAUGCAGGUAAUGAUAAUAAUACCUGCCUCAUGGGAUUGUGGAAAAAAAAGGUGAUAUCUGCAAAUGUUUUAGAAAAACGAAAAUGGUAGAAUAGGACUUUCACAAAUUUUCUUCUUUAAAAGCAGUGACAAAAUGGGAAAAGUUGUCAGAAUCAUUUUUUUCCCCAGAAUUCUUGAAACUUCUUGUAGCAAUCAAAGAAGAAUUUAUUCAAGAAAAAGGGCUAAACCUUGGUAAGAACAUUUGUGGCAUUUUAACCUGCCCUAUUCCCACCCACAACUCUAUGGCAGACUUGAAGUCCAGCAGCCCAGCAGCCACCAGAGGGAACUGAAUAAGGUUGGACCACUUUCAAAACUUUUCUUCCCGACUACUGCCAUUAGCUGGCCUGUCUGGUGUUUCCCUGGAAGGCUCUACUUCAAGACUGUCUUUAUUCGAACUGAGUAGGAGUUCAUCCAGCACAAAAAGCCUUUUUCUUGGAGGCAUUUGUGAAAACACACAGAGGCAAUUGUUUAGCUUUGGGGCUACCUGCAGUGGUGGAUAAUAUUUGGGGGAAAACAAUCAGCUAACCAAAAGUCUUUAAAGGAAAAGCUAGGGAAUGAGGUGCCCAGAAUGGCUGUGAAAAGCUCCAACAUAGUCCUGGGAAUCUAAAAGGCUAUGUGCAUGUGUAGCACUGUGUGUAUCCCCAGAGCUAUACAAAUGGAAAGAUCUGAGAAGCGCCUAAGCUUUUAUCUCUUUUAAGGCUAACCUUAAGGCUCUGCAUGAGCAGGAAGAGAAGGCUAAGGCAGAGUUAGCCUGACUGAGUGUUGAGUGUCCCAACGUGCACAGAGCACCUCUACAAAGACUGGGAGACUUACCAGUUCCAGGAAUUCUCUGUCCAACCAUUUGCUGACAAGUAAAGUAACUGAACAGAGAUUUCAGUGCCACACAAAGAAGAACAUAGAUUUUGUAGAACUAGUUUAGAAAAGUUAUCAAAUAACAACAAAAGCAGCAACAAUAACAAACCCUGGAGAUGAGGAAGAAUCUGAUUUCCAGAGUCACUACAUGAUAUUAUGUAAAAUGUCCAUUUUCAACAGCAAAAAUUAUGAGUCAUGAAAAGAAAGAAGAAACUAUGCUCCCUGCAUAAGAGAAAAGCAAUCCAUAGAAACUGUCCCUGAGGAAUCCAGGAUGUUAGACUUGGAAGAAAAAGACUUUAAGUAUGUCAUUUUAAAUACAUUCAAAGAACUAAAGGAAGCCAUGUCUAAAGAAGGAAAAGAAAGUGAGAAUGAUGUCUUACCAAACAGAGAAUUACAAUAGAGACAGAAAUUAUAUAAAAGGAACCAAAUGGAAAUUUUGGAGUUGAAAAGUACAAUAGCUAAAAUGAAAAAUUCACUAGAGUGACUCAGCAAAUUGCAUCAAGCAGGAAAAAAUCAGUGAAUUUAGAGUUAGGUCAACCAGUAUUAAAAGAAGAAAUGGAAGAAAAAUGAAUAGAGCUUCAAAGAUUUGUGGGACACCAUCAACCAUAACAUUGUACCCAUAAUGAGAGUCCAAGAAAGAAAGGAUAGAGUCAGAGGAUUUGAAGAAAUAAUGUCUGAUGAAAAACAUUAAUCUACAUACCCAAGGAGCUAAACGAACUCCAAAAACCACAGGCUGGGAGUUCCCAUUGUGGCUCAGUGGGUUACAAACCAGACUAGUAUCCAUAAGGAUGAAGGUUCGAUCCUUGGCCUUGCUCAGUGGGUUAAGGAUCUGGCGUUGCCAUGAGCUGUGGUGUAGGUUGCAGACAUGGUUCAGAUCCCACGUUGCUGUGGCUGUGCUGUAGGUUGGCAGCUGCAGCUCAGAUUAGACCCCUAGUCUGGGAACUUCCAUAUGCCACAGGUGCGGCCCU